UCCCUCCUAACUGAGUUGGUAAAGAAUUUGCCUGCAAUGCAGGAGACCUGGGUUCGAUGCCUGGGUUGGGAA
This 72-nucleotide transfer RNA is filed under the name Bos taurus (domestic cattle). It matches the Rfam family "tRNA". From Rfam's summary of the family: Transfer RNA (tRNA) molecules are approximately 80 nucleotides in length. Their secondary structure includes four short double-helical elements and three loops (D, anti-codon, and T loops). Further hydrogen bonds mediate the characteristic L-shaped molecular structure. tRNAs have two regions of fundamental functional importance: the anti-codon, which is responsible for specific mRNA codon recognition, and the 3' end, to which the tRNAs corresponding amino acid is attached (by aminoacyl-tRNA synthetases). tRNAs cope with the degeneracy of the genetic code in two manners: having more than one tRNA (with a specific anti-codon) for a particular amino acid; and 'wobble' base-pairing, i.e. permitting non-standard base-pairing at the 3rd anti-codon position. The record is from Rfam by way of RNAcentral. Lineage: Eukaryota; Metazoa; Chordata; Mammalia; Artiodactyla; Bovidae. RNAcentral also lists the same sequence under 2 other names.